UGACUGAAAGAACAGUUGAAAGAGCUCUACUACCUAAUUAUGACUUAAACUCAGAAGACUUCAGAGAGGAUCAAACCUCACAACAAGGUUCAGAUUAGUUUCCAUGGAAACCAGUCAGGAAUUAAAGGCAUACUCUAUGAUAUCUUGUUGGCCAGGGAUCAAGAGUCUGAAGGAGAGUAGGAAAAGUCCUAACAAUGAGAUCAACAGGAAGAGAAGAUGGGGAGUCUAUCUAGGAUACAGACUUCAUGAGUUGGGGGCAGCCCCUGUCAAAGCAUGAGAAGAUGUGUCCCAUUAAUUCCAAUGGUCUUGUAGAUUGGCUCUGGUGUCCUCCAUUCACAGAGUGUUCAAGAUCCUAGGACCAAGUUGAAAACAGGAAUGGAAGACAAGAAGGUAGAGAGGGAGAAGAAAAGAAGGGUAAAGAUUAAAAUAUCAACUCAAAUGAGGGGACUGCUUCUACUGAUGCACAUCCUUGAAGAGCUGAGUGGUUCAACAUCUUUUCCAGAGUAAUAGAACCAAUAAAUAUU
Long non-coding RNA from Sarcophilus harrisii (Tasmanian devil), 524 nucleotides. RefSeq lists it as uncharacterized. The transcript has 3 exons. Lineage: Eukaryota; Metazoa; Chordata; Mammalia; Dasyuromorphia; Dasyuridae. The record is from RefSeq and is a predicted model, not a curated record.